Molecule: long non-coding RNA, 1171 nt
Filed under: Populus tremula
Lineage: Eukaryota; Viridiplantae; Streptophyta; Magnoliopsida; Malpighiales; Salicaceae
Description: long non-coding RNA (PTRE_LNC001987)
Source: RNAcentral
UCAGGUCUAGUGAUGUCAACUUGUUAAACCUAUGACCAUGAGCAUUAGAUUAAAAUAAUCUAAUAGAAAGAAAAACAAAAUAAAACACGAAGAUCAACUCAUAUUAAAUCAAAUAUUAAAUGAUGGGAUUGAGAAAUAAUCAAUAAAAAACUUUUUAAAAAAAUCAAAGUCAGCCCAUGUUAAUAUUUAAAACCACGUUAAAGAUCAAUAAAAAAAAAAAAAAAAGGAAAAUCCUCAAUCACAAAACACUAAGGGAUGUGAUUUAGAAAAAAAAAUACAAUAAAAAAAUAAACUAAAACAAAGCAAAAAAGAUAUAAAUGAUUAUGAGUAUUUGCUUGUAAGAAUUUUUUUUUUUGGUAUUCAUAACAUAUUCAUUACCCAUAAGAUAGGAAAUAUAUAUAUUUACAAACUAUAAAUUGAAAUUUGAGUACCACGUGGAUAACAAUCAUAUGACUAUUAUUUAUUAUUCAAUAAUAAUAUAGAUUAAUAUAUGUGCACGUGUAUAUGUAUAUGUAUAUAUUUGAAUUGUGUGUGUAUUAAAUUAUUAAAUUAUAAUUUUAUGUCAAUGUUAAGUAUGGAUAUAUUACAUUGCAUUAAAAAAUAAUCAAUAUAUAUAUAUACACACACACACACUUCAUGCUAAGUUUAUGCGGAUUUCAAGUCAGUUUUGAUAAUAUUCAUGCUAUAUACAUUACUUGUUAGGCAAGACAAUCAUAAAAAAAGUAUUGACUUGUUCGGGUUGGUAUCCAUUAAGUUUGGAUUAAAUUGUCAUCUCUAACAUCAAGUGAUGAAAUUAUGUACCCGCACGAGUAUCUAUUAUCUAAAAACUAUCUAGUAUUAAAUAAAAGAUAAAGGCUGUGUUUGUUUUCCGGAAAGCGAUUUUUGGGAAACCACUUUUCAAACUUUUAUGUGUUUGUUUGUCAUUAGAAAAGUUGGUCAACAGAAAACACUUUGCAGUCAAAGGAAAAUUUGGCAUGGUUUUCAGGAAAGUAUUUUCCUUUUAUUUUGGGCGGAAAACACUUUUUGGAAGUUAUGAAAAAUUUAGAAAUGUCAUAUUAUUUGCUAAUUAUAUCAAAUUUGAUCCUCAACUUUUGAUUGCUAUAUAUAUUUUGUUUUAAAUAUUUUUUUUUCAAUUUCAUCCCUUAGAAAUUAAUCUUUAUAUUAACUUCGG